AAACAUCUAAGUACCCCGAGGAAAAGAAAUCAACCGAGAUUCCCUCAGUAGCGGCGAGCGAACGGGGAUUAGCCCUUAAGCAUCUUGGAAGUUAGUGGAACGGUCCUGGAAAGGCCGGCGAUACAGGGUGAUAGCCCCGUACACGAAAACAACCUUGAUGUGAAAUCGAGUAGGGCGGGACACGUGACAUCCUGUCUGAAUAUGGGGGGACCAUCCUCCAAGGCUAAAUACUCCUGACUGACCGAUAGUGAACCAGUACCGUGAGGGAAAGGCGAAAAGAACCCCUGUGAGGGGAGUGAAAUAGAACCUGAAACCGUGUACGUACAAGCAGUGGGAGCCCUUCGGGGUGACUGCGUACCUUUUGUAUAAUGGGUCAGCGACUUACAUUUUGUAGCGAGGUUAACCGUAUAGGGGAGCCGUAGGGAAACCGAGUCUUAACUGGGCGUCUAGUUGCAAGGUGUAGACCCGAAACCGGGUGAUCUAGCCAUGGGCAGGUUGAAGGUUGAGUAACAUCAACUGGAGGACCGAACCCACUAACGUUGCAAAGUUAGGGGAUGACCUGUGGCUGGGGGUGAAAGGCCAAUCAAACUCGGAGAUAGCUGGUUCUCCCCGAAAGCUAUUUAGGUAGCGCCUCGGACGAAUACUACUGGGGGUAGAGCACUGUUUGGGCUAGGGGGUCAUCCCGACUUACCAACCCCAUGCAAACUCCGAAUACCAGUAAGUAAUAUCCGGGAGACACACGGCGGGUGCUAACGUCCGUCGUGAAGAGGGAAACAACCCAGACCGCCGGCUAAGGUCCCAAAGUUCUGGUUAAGUGGGAAACGAUGUGGGAAGGCUCAGACAGCUAGGAUGUUGGCUUAGAAGCAGCCAUCAUUUAAAGAAAGCGUAAUAGCUCACUAGUCGAGUCGGCCUGCGCGGAAGAUGUAACGGGGCUCAAACCAGGCACCGAAGCCGCGGAUUCACGCUAAGCGUGAGUGGUAGGGGAGCGUUCUGUAAGUCUGCGAAGGUGUGUCGAGAGGCAUGCUGGAGAUA
Molecule: ribosomal RNA, 1032 nt
Filed under: Aeromonas dhakensis
Lineage: Bacteria; Pseudomonadati; Pseudomonadota; Gammaproteobacteria; Aeromonadales; Aeromonadaceae
Description: partial 23S ribosomal RNA
Rfam family: Bacterial large subunit ribosomal RNA
Source: RNAcentral